GAUGAACGCUGGCGGCGUGCCUAAUACAUGCAAGUCGAGCGAACAGAUGAGGAGCUUGCUCCUCUGACGUUAGCAGCGGACGGGUGAGUAACACGUGGAUAACCUACCUAUAAGACUGGGAUAACUUCGGGAAACCGGAGCUAAUACCGGAUAAUAUAUUGAACCGCAUGGUUCAAUAGUGAAAGACGGUUUUGCUGUCACUUAUAGAUGGAUCCGCGCCGCAUUAGCUAGUUGGUAAGGUAACGGCUUACCAAGGCAACGAUGCGUAGCCGACCUGAGAGGGUGAUCGGCCACACUGGAACUGAGACACGGUCCAGACUCCUACGGGAGGCAGCAGUAGGGAAUCUUCCGCAAUGGGCGAAAGCCUGACGGAGCAACGCCGCGUGAGUGAUGAAGGUCUUCGGAUCGUAAAACUCUGUUAUUAGGGAAGAACAAAUGUGUAAGUAACUAUGCACGUCUUGACGGUACCUAAUCAGAAAGCCACGGCUAACUACGG
RNAcentral lists this ribosomal RNA (496 nucleotides) under uncultured bacterium. Its description in RNAcentral is "partial 16S ribosomal RNA". It matches the Rfam family "Bacterial small subunit ribosomal RNA", at positions 28 to 506 of the family's 1533-position model. The record is from RNAcentral.